UACGGGGGGGGCAAGCGUUGUUCGGAAUUACUGGGCGUAAAGGGCUCGUAGGCGGCCAACUAAGUCACACGUGAAAUCCCUCGGCUCAACCGGGGAACUGCGUGUGAGACUGGAUGGCUUGAGUUUGGGAGAGGAAUGCGGAAUUCCAGGUGUAGCGGUGAAAUGCGUAGAUAUCUGGAGGAACACCGGUGGCGAAGGCGGCAUUCUGGACCAACACUGACGCUGAUGAGCGAAAGCUAGGGGAGCAAACGGG
This 253-nucleotide ribosomal RNA is filed under the name uncultured bacterium. RNAcentral's name for it is "partial 16S ribosomal RNA". It matches the Rfam family "Bacterial small subunit ribosomal RNA", at positions 524 to 776 of the family's 1533-position model. The record is from RNAcentral.